CCUUUUGUAUAAUGGGUCAGCGACUUAUAUUCUGUAGCAAGGUUAACCGAAUAGGGGAGCCGAAGGGAAACCGAGUCUUAACUGGGCGUUAAGUUGCAGGGUAUAGACCCGAAACCCGGUGAUCUAGCCAUGGGCAGGUUGAAGGUUGGGUAACACUAACUGGAGGACCGAACCGACUAAUGUUGAAAAAUUAGCGGAUGACUUGUGGCUGGGGGUGAAAGGCCAAUCAAACCGGGAGAUAGCUGGUUCUCCCCGAAAGCUAUUUAGGUAGCGCCUCGUGAAUUCAUCUCCGGGGGUAGAGCACUGUUUCGGCAAGGGGGUCAUCCCGACUUACCAACCCGAUGCAAACUGCGAAUACCGGAGAAUGUUAUCACGGGAGACACACGGCGGGUGCUAACGUCCGUCGUGAAGAGGGAAACAACCCAGACCGCCAGCUAAGGUCCCAAAGUCAUGGUUAAGUGGGAAACGAUGUGGGAAGGCCCAGACAGCCAGGAUGUUGGCUUAGAAGCAGCCAUCAUUUAAAGAAAGCGUAAUAGCUCACUGGUCGAGUCGGCCUGCGCGGAAGAUGUAACGGGGCUAAACCAUGCACCGAAGCUGCGGCAGCGACGCUUAUGCGUUGUUGGGUAGGGGAGCGUUCUGUAAGCCUGUGAAGGUGUGCUGUGAGGCAUGCUGGAGGUAUCAGAAGUGCGAAUGCUGACAUAAGUAACGAUAAAGCGGGUGAAAAGCCCGCUCGCCGGAAGACCAAGGGUUCCUGUCCAACGUUAAUCGGGGCAGGGUGAGUCGACCCCUAAGGCGAGGCCGAAAGGCGUAGUCGAUGGGAAACAGGUUAAUAUUCCUGUACUUGGUGUUACUGCGAAGGGGGGACGGAGAAGGCUAUGUUGGCCGGGCGACGGUUGUCCCGGUUUAAGCGUGUAGGCUGGUUUUCCAGGCAAAUCCGGAAAAUCAAGGCUGAGGCGUGAUGACGAGGCACUACGGUGCUGAAGCAACAAAUGCCCUGCUUCCAGGAAAAGCCUCUAAGCAUCAGGUAACAUCAAAUCGUACCCCAAACCGACACAGGUGGUCAGGUAGAGAAUACCAAGGCGCUUGAGAGAACUCGGGUGAAGGAACUAGGCAAAAUGGUGCCGUAACUUCGGGAGAAGG
This 1140-nucleotide ribosomal RNA is filed under the name Escherichia coli. Its description in RNAcentral is "partial 23S ribosomal RNA". It matches the Rfam family "Bacterial large subunit ribosomal RNA", at positions 604 to 1746 of the family's 2925-position model. The record is from RNAcentral. Lineage: Bacteria; Pseudomonadati; Pseudomonadota; Gammaproteobacteria; Enterobacterales; Enterobacteriaceae.